RNAcentral lists this ribosomal RNA (664 nucleotides) under Lactiplantibacillus plantarum. RNAcentral's name for it is "bacterial SSU rRNA". It matches the Rfam family "Bacterial small subunit ribosomal RNA", at positions 1 to 633 of the family's 1533-position model. The record is from RNAcentral. Lineage: Bacteria; Bacillati; Bacillota; Bacilli; Lactobacillales; Lactobacillaceae.
UGAGAGUUUUGAUCAUGGCUCAGGACGAACGCUGGCGGCGUGCCUAAUACAUGCAAGUCGAACGAACUCUGGUAUUGAUUGGUGCUUGCAUCAUGAUUUACAUUUGAGUGAGUGGCGAACUGGUGAGUAACACGUGGGAAACCUGCCCAGAAGUGGGGGAUAACACCUGGAAACAGAUGCUAAUACCGCAUAACAACUUGGACCGCAUGGUCCGAGCUUGAAAGAUGGCUUCGGCUAUCACUUUUGGAUGGUCCCGCGGCGUAUUAGCUAGAUGGUGGGGUAACGGCUCACCAUGGCAAUGAUACGUAGCCGACCUGAGAGGGUAAUCGGCCACAUUGGGACUGAGACACGGCCCAAACUCCUACGGGAGGCAGCAGUAGGGAAUCUUCCACAAUGGACGAAAGUCUGAUGGAGCAACGCCGCGUGAGUGAAGAAGGGUUUCGGCUCGUAAAACUCUGUUGUUAAAGAAGAACAUAUCUGAGAGUAACUGUUCAGGUAUUGACGGUAUUUAACCAGAAAGCCACGGCUAACUACGUGCCAGCAGCCGCGGUAAUACGUAGGUGGCAAGCGUUGUCCGGAUUUAUUGGGCGUAAAGCGAGCGCAGGCGGUUUUUUAAGUCUGAUGUGAAAGCCUUCGGCUCAACCGCUAGAAGUGCAUCGGCGUG